AGAGUUUGAUCCUGGCUCAGAACGAACGCUGGCGGCAGGCUUAACACAUGCAAGUCGAGCGCUCUCUUCGGAGGGAGCGGCGGACGGGUGAGUAACGCGUGGGAACGUGCCCUUCACUGCGGAAUAGCCAUUGGAAACGAUGAUUAAUACCGCAUACGCCCUUAGGGGGAAAGAUUUAUCGGUGAGGGAUCGGCCCGCGUUAGAUUAGGUAGUUGGUGGGGUAACGGCCUACCAAGCCGACGAUCUAUAGCUGGUUUGAGAGGAUGAUCAGCCACACUGGGACUGAGACACGGCCCAGACUCCUACGGGAGGCAGCAGUGGGGAAUCUUGGACAAUGGGGGAAACCCUGAUCCAGCCAUGCCGCGUGAGUGACGAAGGCCCUAGGGUCGUAAAGCUCUUUCGCCAGGGAAGAUAAUGACGGUACCUGGUAAAGAAACCCCGGCUAACUCCGUGCCAGCAGCCGCGGUAAUACGGAGGGGGUUAGCGUUGUUCGGAAUUACUGGGCGUAAAGCGCACGUAGGCGGAUCUUUAAGUCGGGGGUGAAAUCCCGGGGCUCAACCCCGGAACUGCCUUCGAUACUGGGGGUCUUGAG
Molecule: ribosomal RNA, 592 nt
Filed under: uncultured Alphaproteobacteria bacterium
Lineage: Bacteria; Pseudomonadati; Pseudomonadota; Alphaproteobacteria
Description: bacterial SSU rRNA
Rfam family: Bacterial small subunit ribosomal RNA
Source: RNAcentral